This 485-nucleotide ribosomal RNA is filed under the name uncultured bacterium. RNAcentral describes it as "bacterial SSU rRNA". It matches the Rfam family "Bacterial small subunit ribosomal RNA", at positions 30 to 507 of the family's 1533-position model. The record is from RNAcentral.
AUUGAACGCUGGCGGCAGGCUUAACACAUGCAAGUCGAGCGGAGAUGAGGUGCUUGCACCUUANCUUAGCGGCGGACGGGUGAGUAAUGCUUAGGAAUCUGCCUAUUAGUGGGGGACAACAUUUCGAAAGGAAUGCUAAUACCGCAUACGCCCUACGGGGGAAAGCAGGGGAUCUUCGGACCUUGCGCUAAUAGAUGAGCCUAAGUCGGAUUAGCUAGUUGGUGGGGUAAAGGCCUACCAAGGCGACGAUCUGUAGCGGGUCUGAGAGGAUGAUCCGCCACACUGGGACUGAGACACGGCCCAGACUCCUACGGGAGGCAGCAGUGGGGAAUAUUGGACAAUGGGGGGAACCCUGAUCCAGCCAUGCCGCGUGUGUGAAGAAGGCCUUUUGGUUGUAAAGCACUUUAAGCGAGGAGGAGGAGCUCUAGAUUAAUACUCUAGAUGCUUGGACGUUACUCGCAGAAUAAGCACCGGCUAACUCUGUG